CUUCGCCGCCAUCCCGGUGAGGGGGCAGUUGAAGCUGGGCAGGGUCUGGGUGCGUUUGCGGGGACUUCCGAGCCAGUCGUCUGUAGAAGAUUCCCAGCCCACAAAGCUUCGAGGAGCGUUCUUCUGGCUUUCAGCCUUCUUUGAGGGAGGGGAGGGAAUCACAUCUUUGGAGAGAGGAAACAGAGUCUCAUGCUGUCUGAUCAUCUCUGUCAUCAGCUUCUGGAUCUGAGGAGUCGCUGCAAAGACAAAACAAACACAAAAUGCCUUACAUUUGUGUUCUUAUUCUUAUUUUUGAUUAGAUCAUUAAACUUGUUUUACAACGUU
Thunnus maccoyii (southern bluefin tuna) is the source of this 324-nucleotide long non-coding RNA. RefSeq lists it as uncharacterized. NCBI's taxonomy places the organism in Eukaryota, Metazoa, Chordata, Actinopteri, Scombriformes, Scombridae. The record is from RefSeq and is a predicted model, not a curated record. The transcript is spliced from 2 exons.